This 468-nucleotide ribosomal RNA is filed under the name uncultured bacterium. RNAcentral describes it as "partial 16S ribosomal RNA". It matches the Rfam family "Bacterial small subunit ribosomal RNA", at positions 28 to 507 of the family's 1533-position model. The record is from RNAcentral.
GACGAACGCUGGCGGCGUGCUUAACACAUGCAAGUCGAACGGAAAGGCCUUGCUUUUGUGGGGUGCUCGAGUGGCGAACGGGUGAGUAACACGUGAGUAACCUGCCCUUGACUUUGGGAUAACUUCAGGAAACUGGGGCUAAUACCGGAUAGGAGCUCCUGCUGCAUGGUGGGGGUUGGAAAGUUUCGGCGGUUGGGGAUGGACUCGCGGCUUAUCAGCUUGUUGGUGGGGUAGUGGCUUACCAAGGCUUUGACGGGUAGCCGGCCUGAGAGGGUGACCGGCCACAUUGGGACUGAGGUACGGCCCAGACUCCUCCGGGAGGCAGCAGUGGGGAAUAUUGCACAAUGGGCGGAAGCCUGAUGCAGCAACGCCGCGUGCGGGAUGACGGCCUUCGGGUUGUAAACCGCUUUCGCCUGUGACGAAGCGUGAGUGACGGUAAUGGGUAAAGAAGCACCGGCUAACUACGUG